GACGAACGCUGGCGGCGUGCUUAACACAUGCAAGUCGAACGGUAAGGCCCUUCGGGGUACACGAGUGGCGAACGGGUGAGUAACACGUGGGUGAUCUGCCCUGUACUUCGGGAUAAGCGUGGGCAACUGGGUCCAGUACCGGAUAGGACCACUGCUCGCAAGGGUGGUGGGGGAGAGCUUUUGCGGUGUGGGAUGGGCCCGCGGCCAAUCAGUUUGUUGGUGGGGUGAUGGCCUACCAAGGCGACGACGGGUAGCCGGCCGGAGAGGGUGACCGGCCACACUGGGACUGAGAUACGGCCCAGACUCCUACGGGAGGCAGCAGUGGGGAAUAUUGCACAAUGGGCGCAAGCCUGAUGCAGCGACGCCGCGUGAGGGAUGACGGCCUUCGGGUUGUAAACCUCUUUCAGCACCGACGAAGCGCAAGUGACGGUAGGUGCAGAAGAAGGACCGGCCAACUACGUGCCAGCAGCCGCCGUAA
Molecule: ribosomal RNA, 478 nt
Filed under: uncultured bacterium
Lineage: Bacteria
Description: partial 16S ribosomal RNA
Rfam family: Bacterial small subunit ribosomal RNA
Source: RNAcentral